CUACGGGAGGCUCCAGUGAGGAAUAUUGCACAAUGGGGGGAACCCUGAUGCAGCAACGCCGCGUGGAGGAUGACGCAUUUCGGUGUGUAAACUCCUUUUAUAUGUCAAGAAAAUGACGGUAGCAUAUGAAUAAGCGCCGGCUAACUCCGUGCCAGCAGCCGCGGUAAUACGGAGGGCGCAAGCGUUACUCGGAAUCACUGGGCGUAAAGGACGCGUAGGCGGGUUGAAAAGUCAGGUGUGAAAGCCUACAGCUUAAUUGUAGAACUGCACUUGAAACUCUCAAUCUAGAGUAUGGGAGGGGCAGAUGGAAUUAGUGGUGUAGGGGUAAAAUCCGUAGAUAUCACUAGGAAUACCUAAAGCGAAGGCGAUCUGCUGGAACAUUACUGACGCUAAGGCGUGAAAGCGUGGGGAGCAAACAGGAUUAGAUACCCUGGUAGUC
This 439-nucleotide ribosomal RNA is filed under the name uncultured bacterium. Its description in RNAcentral is "partial 16S ribosomal RNA". It matches the Rfam family "Bacterial small subunit ribosomal RNA", at positions 339 to 795 of the family's 1533-position model. The record is from RNAcentral.